RNAcentral lists this ribosomal RNA (433 nucleotides) under uncultured bacterium. Its description in RNAcentral is "partial 16S ribosomal RNA". It matches the Rfam family "Bacterial small subunit ribosomal RNA", at positions 29 to 507 of the family's 1533-position model. The record is from RNAcentral.
AACGAACGCUGGCGGCAUGCCUAACACAUGCAAGUCGAACGAGACCUUCGGGUCUAGUGGCGCACGGGUGCGUAACGCGUGGGAACCUGCCCUUAGGUUCGGAAUAACUCCCCGAAAGGGGUGCUAAUACCGGAUAAUGUCUUCGGACCAAAGAUUUAUCGCCUUUGGAUGGGCCCGCGUUGGAUUAGCUAGUUGGUAGGGUAAAAGCCUACCAAGGCGACGAUCCAUAGCUGGUCUGAGAGGAUGAUCAGCCACACUGGGACUGAGACACGGCCCAGACUCCUACGGGAGGCAGCAGUGGGGAAUAUUGGACAAUGGGCGAAAGCAUGAUCCAGCAAUGCCGGGUGAGUGAUGAAGGCCUUAGGGUUGUAAAGCUCUUUUACCCGGGAUGAUAAUGACAGUACCGGGAGAAUAAGCUCCGGCUAACUCCGUG